This 1255-nucleotide long non-coding RNA is filed under the name Mustela putorius furo (domestic ferret). RNAcentral describes it as "lncRNA (ENSMPUG00000024081.1)". The record is from RNAcentral. Lineage: Eukaryota; Metazoa; Chordata; Mammalia; Carnivora; Mustelidae.
GGUCAUUAUUAAAUAAAAUUCUGCCCCAAAAGUCCACAGUAUGGAAUGGGAACUUUUAGCCAACAUAUAUACAAAAAACCUUAAUUUUUUUUUAUCCAGAUUCCUAAUUCUUAUUGAAAAAGGAUUGAGCAGUUCACAUUCUUGCCAUUGUGAUGUCAGAAUGCCCAUUCUUGGGGCGCCGGGACAGCUCAGUCAGAGAAGCAUCCAAAUCUUGAUUUCUGCUCAGGUCAUGAUGUCAGGGUCAUGAGAUUGAGCCCAGUGUUGGGCUCAACAACUCGCAGGGUGCAUUGGCAGAGUAACCACGGGCUUGCUCAAGAAAGGUUAUUCAGCAGGAGCUAUAAUGGAGCUUCCAAUAACAAAGCAGUGAAACUUGCAAUUGUCUUCGUCACAACCUUUAGAAUAAUGUGCUGUGGUGCUCCAUUGGCUGGUGUCCUCACACAGAGCCAAGUGCUGCUACUGGCUUUGCACAUGAUAAGGGCAGAACCAUGGACUUUCCAGCUCUUUCUUACCUACUACUUUACUCAGCACUUCUGAAGUAGAAGAUAGCCAGUGAAUCUGUAUGGAACAUACAAUACGACAUCACAGCCACUGUGAACCCGAGCUUCUCCUUAUCCAGAAAGAAGACCAUACUUUUACUCCAAGGAAGACUGUGCAUAUCAAAAAAUCAAAACAUGCUUUAUAAUGUGCACAAUUUGCUGUGAGUUUUUUAAAAGGAGGAUGAAAAUCUGUAAGAUUAUAUGAUUUCAAGAAAAGCAUUCCAUACAUCAGAGCAGAUGUGGCAGAUAAGCCCACUGGUCCAGCCAUGCAUUCUGUCUAAGGCGGCAUCCAUAAUGACGUCCCCUUCUGAGGUGCCACAUUAAUUCCUAAAUAUAUGAGAGUUCACCUCUGUGAAAUACAUCCAUAGUUAUUGACCUAUUAAUUAUGAUUUUUCUCUGGUUUGUAAAAUAUAGGUAUUUACAUGUUCUCAUUUGCAUUUCUAUAAUGAACAUGUAGUGCUUUUGAAAUGAGAAGCAAGCAAUUAAAAAAGCACUUCGGAAGAAUACCUUUCACUUUUUUUUUCACAGAACUCGUCCUGUACCUUCAUGUUCCUCUCUAGUGUUUUCAACUGCAGGGACCAUAUGCCUUUUAGACUUUACAUUUUUAAAAAUAAAAUCCACGUUCUUUUAGAUUUUUUAACAUAAAAGCCACCAGGUCUUUCAAAUACUGACAUCCUAACAUUGAUAUGGGUGAGUUUCAGUUAGGGUACAUGAUGGGG